AACGAUCUUUUUACAGCACCUCCCACACUUCCAACCCUCCGGUUUACAAGGGGAAAAACCAAAAAAGAAACAACCCUACCCACGCAUGCACGUUUCCUAUGCAAUCCAGAACUGCCGCUAGACCAGGCAAAAUCAACGCACCGACGGGAGGCCGCCAUGUGCACCGUUUCAAUGGUGUUCCUCCUCGAGGAGCGCGUCACUAGCAUGACGCGGGCGGGGAAGUGGUGGACGCGCAGGGUUCACGCCUACGUUUGGGGUGGCCAUCGCGCUCUACCUCCUGGCCUCUGAACUCACCAGCAUCGGUCGCCGCGGCGGCGUUGUCUCUAUCGUCUUCAUCGAGAUGCUCCUGGUGGUCCUCUAUAAAGCCCCGAGCCCUAGACAGGGUUGAUCGUCGAGGCGGAAGCGGCUGAGGCCCGGAGCCCCCUCGAAUUGCCACGACUCAUGGAGGAGCAGAAAACAAGUCGGCAGCGUGCCUGAGCUAGGGCAGUGGCGGCUGCAAUCCAGGACCGCUCGUCUCGGCAUCGCAGAAUCGCAGGCGAGGGUGCCGGUGACGGCUGCCAGGUGCUCGUGGGGCUACUGAAGGGCGCGGGCGAGGCACAUGGUUGAUGCUUGGGACAGCUGCGGAGCGGCGUGCGCGAGUGCAGGGCAGGCAGUAGCCAGGGCGGCGGGAGAGGACCUAGGACACGUUGUGUUCAUGUAAUCAUCUUGUUCGUCUCUCCCUUUUGUUCGUCCUGUGUGACUAUGUUUUCCUCUUAUAUCCUGUAGCUCUAACUAUGCUUUCCUCUUGCAUCCUGUAGCUUUAAGAACGACUUGUGCAGGUAAUUUAUUUCUGGUCACCAAAACAAGUUUGUUCUUACACUUUGAUGUUAUGAUUUGUCAUUAUGCACUAACAUUGAGAGUACUAAUGGGUAGCAUGGUAUGAUCAAGAGAAGGGAAUAAUUUUCUACAGGUUAUUUUGUUAAUGAUAAUGACACGAAAUCACCAUGAAUAUUAAUAUACAGGAGGGAGUACUAUUUUAUUGGUGUCAUUUAAUAUCUAAUUAUUUUGUUUCAAAUAAAGUACCAAAUUUAGUGAUUAAUUUUUCUUUACCGCGUCAUGCACGCAUCUCUAAUC
This is a long non-coding RNA of Triticum aestivum (bread wheat), 1113 nucleotides long. RefSeq lists it as uncharacterized. The record is from RefSeq and is a predicted model, not a curated record. NCBI's taxonomy places the organism in Eukaryota, Viridiplantae, Streptophyta, Magnoliopsida, Poales, Poaceae. The transcript has 3 exons.